CCUACGGGCGGCAGCAGUGAGGAAUAUUGGUCAAUGGACGCAAGUCUGAACCAGCCAUGCCGCGUGCAGGAAGACGGCUCUAUGAGUUGUAAACUGCUUUUGUACGAGGGUAAAUCCCGAUACGUGUAUCGGGUUGAAAGUAUCGUACGAAUAAGGAUCGGCUAACUCCGUGCCAGCAGCCGCGGUAAUACGGAGGAUUCAAGCGUUAUCCGGAUUUAUUGGGUUUAAAGGGUGCGUAGGAGGUCGGAUAAGUUAGAGGUGAAGUCCAGAGGCGUAACUUCGGAAUUGCCUAUGAUACUGUUCGGCUAGAGAGUAGGUGCGGUAGGCGGAAUGUAUGGUGUAGCGGUGAAAUGCUUAGAGAUCAUACAGAACACCGAUUGCGAAGGCAGCUUACCAAGCUACUUCUGACGUUGAGGCACGAAAGCGUGGGGAGCAAACAGGAUUAGAUACCCGAGUAGUC
Molecule: ribosomal RNA, 460 nt
Filed under: uncultured bacterium
Lineage: Bacteria
Description: partial 16S ribosomal RNA
Rfam family: Bacterial small subunit ribosomal RNA
Source: RNAcentral